Molecule: unclassified non-coding RNA, 1156 nt
Filed under: Dermacentor andersoni
Lineage: Eukaryota; Metazoa; Arthropoda; Arachnida; Ixodida; Ixodidae
Description: uncharacterized LOC126538775
Source: RNAcentral
ACAUAUUGAAGUUAGCCUACAAGCUGUCGUUAAAAGUUCCGUCUUUCAGUAGACCUUGUGCAGCGUACUCUCAGCUCAAUACGAAAUUCUUGACUGCGUUCUCGAGUUUUGUUUAACGGUAAUGAGAAGGAGUUAGAUAAUGCACAGAGGCAAGGUUUUGUCUGGUCUUGCAGGAGUCCCAGGUGCUUUUUGCGCCGCAUACACUGUCGCAAUCGUUACACAUCUGAGGAACCAGACUGGCGGCGCAUAGGUAAAGCCGGCUGCCAGUGCAAGCCGCAGUCCCCUACAUUGUCGCUAUAAAGAGGAAAUUUGUACGUGUACUAAGUGUACGCAACGUUUCUUUGUUUAGUAUAAUUUGGCGGUGCCUCCAGCAGACAAAAUGUGGAUCCCAUACUGCUCCGUCGGUUUGGGCUCGGCAAUGCCUCCGCGUGGCGGGCGCGUUUAAGAGAAAGCUUUAGCUCGGGUGUUCCAAUCUAAAUACAUGUAAACGCAGUAUUCGUUUUUCUCGGCAACCACUGCACCAAAUUUGACGAGGUUUGUUACAUUUAAAACAAAAGCUUAGAAUCUAGAAUUUCUGCUGGGUACACAAUAGAUUUAAGCGAAACAAUUGAAGCAAAGCGGGGCAUGGUGCUUUCAGUGCCCAAUUUUUUAUAGAACAUGUAGUUUUCCAUUAUAAAGGGGACUGUAAUGCGAUGUCUUUAAGUAGGGGGGUUGUCUUAUAUUCAGAGUCGACUUAUGUUUCAAUAUUAACGGGAAUGAAGUGUUACGCAAUUCUAUUAACGAAAUUUACCUCUGCUGUUUAGUUUCCAUAUUGUGCGUAGAAGCAACAGUGCGUGCACUUUCAGCUGCUCAGUUUAUCUUCAAUGCUGCUCUCAUUUUGUAGAGUUCAUCACUUGUGCAUGUGCAACACAUUGGCGGAGGCAAUACGAACUGCAUUUCUCACUAGCUGGACAAGUCGGAAUGGCAAUGCACCUUGGAGAACAAGACUCGAAUUGUGAAAGUCUGGUGGUUUCACAGAACUUUGUUUUAUGUCAAGAUGGGCUGACACCAUGUCACCUGAUGCUGUCACUCUCUGGAUGACCAGCAAAGCUGCGUACGUGGGCCCCUUAAUGGUGAACUGCACCUCUACCGCGGGUCGGCCUGGUAUUGCACUACC